GCAUUUUGGACAAUGGGCGAAAGCCUGAUCCAGCAAUGCCGCGUGCAGGAUGAAGGCCUUCGGGUUGUAAACUGCUUUUGUACGGAACGAAAAGCUUUGGGUUUAUACUCUGGAGUCAUGACGGUUCCGUAAGAUUAAGCACCGGCUAACUACGUUCCAGCAGCCGCGGUAAUACGCAGGGUGCAAGCGUUAAUCGGAUUUGCCGGGCGUAAAGCGUGGGCAGGCGGUUUUGUAAGACAGAGGUGAAAGCCCCGGGCUCAACCUGGGAACGGCCGUUGUGACUGAAAGGCUAGAGUACGGAAGAGGGGGGUGGAAUUCCGCGGGUAGCAGGGAAAGGCGUAGAAAUGCGGAGGAACACCGAUGGCGAAGGCAACCCCCUGGGCCUGUACUGACGCUCAUGCACGAAAGCGUGGGGAGCAAACA
RNAcentral lists this ribosomal RNA (423 nucleotides) under uncultured bacterium. Its description in RNAcentral is "partial 16S ribosomal RNA". It matches the Rfam family "Bacterial small subunit ribosomal RNA", at positions 359 to 774 of the family's 1533-position model. The record is from RNAcentral.